This 74-nucleotide transfer RNA is filed under the name Pseudoclavibacter sp. CFCC 11306. RNAcentral's name for it is "tRNA-Cys". It matches the Rfam family "tRNA". From Rfam's summary of the family: Transfer RNA (tRNA) molecules are approximately 80 nucleotides in length. Their secondary structure includes four short double-helical elements and three loops (D, anti-codon, and T loops). The record is from RNAcentral. RNAcentral also lists the same sequence under 5 other names. Lineage: Bacteria; Bacillati; Actinomycetota; Actinomycetes; Micrococcales; Microbacteriaceae.
GGUGGAGUGGCCGAGUGGCGAGGCAGCGGCCUGCAAAGCCGUAUACGCGGGUUCGACUCCCGUCUCCACCUCCA